This 416-nucleotide ribosomal RNA is filed under the name uncultured bacterium. RNAcentral describes it as "bacterial SSU rRNA". It matches the Rfam family "Bacterial small subunit ribosomal RNA", at positions 362 to 776 of the family's 1533-position model. The record is from RNAcentral.
UAUUGGCCAAUGGGCGGGAGCCUGAACCAGCCAAGCCGCGUGACGGAGGAAGGCGCCAUGCGUCGUAAACUUCUUUUGUCGGGGAACAAAGGGCGCCACGCGUGGCGUUGUGAGUGUACCCGAAGAAAAAGCAUCGGCUAACUCCGCGCCAGCAGCCGCGGUAAUAAGGAGGAUGCGAGCGUUAUCCGGAGUUAUUGGGUUUAAAGGGUGCGUAGGCGGGCUGUUAAGUCAGCGGUCGAAUGUCGGGGCUCAACCCCGGCCUGCCGUUGAAACUGGCGGCCUCGAGUGGGCGAGAAGUAUGCGGAAUGCGUGGUGUAGCGGUGAAAUGCAUAGAUAUCACGCAGAACUCCGAUUGCGAAGGCAGCAUACCGGCGCCCUACUGACGCUGAGGCACGAAAGCGUGGGUAUCGAACAGG